Long non-coding RNA from Lotus japonicus, 829 nucleotides. RefSeq lists it as uncharacterized. NCBI's taxonomy places the organism in Eukaryota, Viridiplantae, Streptophyta, Magnoliopsida, Fabales, Fabaceae. The transcript has 3 exons. The record is from RefSeq and is a predicted model, not a curated record.
UGAAUCCAUUCUCACUCAUACUCUCUCCCAAAAAACCCUAAGUCUCAGUUUUCUCAGAAAUUUCCUCUCACACUCUCAUGGCCGCCGCCGUCGCCGCUUUUGCGCCGUCGAACUCGCCAUCGCUUUUGCUCCACCGUUGGCGUGAAGGUUUGUUCGCUCAUGAGGUCCCACCGUUCGCGUGAAGGUUUGUUCCAGUUAUUUUCGCUCAAGUCGCACAAAGCAAAUCCACUCCCUCUUCAUCCACUUAUGCGCCGUUUCAGCCUUCGACGACCUCUCCUACGCCGUCUUUGUUGCCGUCACACAACAACCGCCUCUCAACCAUUUCAUAUGGAACACCCUCAUUUUAAGCGUGUUUCUAGAUUCUAAUAUGAGUGGUCUGGUUCUAGUCACAACAUUAGGGGUUUAAUCGCCAACGCCGGUGCUGGUGCUGACGCAGGGGCAAUAGCAGCUUACAUUUGUGUGUCGUCAUCAAGACAAGGCUUCAAGUUCAUGGCCUUCCUCCUUCGCAAAAAGGUUUGGGUUGGAACUUCCGGUUUCAUCUCCUCUAUAAGCCUCGACAUCUCAGGAUAGAGGGAGCAAUUUGCUUUGUGUUUCCCUUUUGUGGAUGUGAAGCUUCUUGAAUCAAGAGGUACAUCCCUAUCGGUCUAAGUUUGAAGCUACUGAAGGGUUUGACACAUGUGCUUGUGGGUAAAAUCGUUGUUGGGACUUAACUUUAUGGGUUCUCACUAUGAUGAAUUAUAUGCUGAGUUGAUGACCUUGUAUUUAGAUGAAUAUUUAUGUAUUUGACACUUAUGUUUUUAGUUAUGCUUUUGACAUUUUACCAUGACUA